RNAcentral lists this ribosomal RNA (497 nucleotides) under uncultured bacterium. RNAcentral describes it as "partial 16S ribosomal RNA". It matches the Rfam family "Bacterial small subunit ribosomal RNA", at positions 28 to 507 of the family's 1533-position model. The record is from RNAcentral.
GAUGAACGCUGGCGGCGUGCCUAAUACAUGCAAGUCGAGCGAACGGAUGAGAAGCUUGCUUCUCUGAUGUUAGCGGCGGACGGGUGAGUAACACGUGGAUAACCUACCUAUAAGACUGGGAUAACUUCGGGAAACCGGAGCUAAUACCGGAUAAUAUUUUGAACCGCAUGGUUCAAAAGUGAAAGACGGUCUUGCUGUCACUUAUAGAUGGAUCCGCGCUGCAUUAGCUAGUUGGUAAGGUAACGGCUUACCAAGGCAACGAUGCAUAGCCGACCUGAGAGGGUGAUCGGCCACACUGGAACUGAGACACGGUCCAGACUCCUACGGGAGGCAGCAGUAGGGAAUCUUCCGCAAUGGGCGAAAGCCUGACGGAGCAACGCCGCGUGAGUGAUGAAGGUCUUCGGAUCGUAAAACUCUGUUAUUAGGGAAGAACAUAUGUGUAAGUAACUAUGCACGUCUUGACGGUACCUAAUCAGAAAGCCACGGCUAACUACGUG